GCAGACGUGGUGCAUGGUGCGCUCCUUCAUUUCAUAUUGGGAUCACAGAGAAGUGUUGAAGGCUGUCGGGGUUCGACUCCCCGCGUCUGCA
Non-coding RNA from Mycena leptocephala, 91 nucleotides. The record is from the annotation of a GenBank genome assembly. Lineage: Eukaryota; Fungi; Basidiomycota; Agaricomycetes; Agaricales; Mycenaceae.